CAAAACAAUGAAAAGGAGCUAAGAAAUAUGAAACAUACAUGUCUGCUCUUGCACAAGGGCACAGGACUCUCCCGUCCCACGAGGCAGGCUUGCACUGCAUGGGAGGUGUUCUUAGAGGACGUGUGGGCUUGGAAAUCUCUCUUCGCCAGUCCUCACCUACAGGAGCCUGUGUGCACCUUGGAGAAUCCUCGUCACCAUGAGAGGGAGGAGGGGAGCUAACCUACCAGUGGGCUGACCUGGACAUCUGGGAUAAUACUCCCCUCUGCCUCCUACUCCAUAUACAACUGGUGGAAUCAACCCAGGGCUCGAAGUACU
Odocoileus virginianus texanus is the source of this 315-nucleotide long non-coding RNA. RefSeq lists it as uncharacterized. The record is from RefSeq and is a predicted model, not a curated record. Lineage: Eukaryota; Metazoa; Chordata; Mammalia; Artiodactyla; Cervidae.